UUACGGCCAUAUCACGUUGAAACACCGGUUCCCGUACGAUCACCGAAGUUAAGAAAUGUCCAGCCUGGUCAGGACCUAGAUGGCUGACCGCUUGGGAAUACCAGGUAC
RNAcentral lists this ribosomal RNA (108 nucleotides) under Acanthosepion pharaonis. Lineage: Eukaryota; Metazoa; Mollusca; Cephalopoda; Sepiida; Sepiidae. The record is from RNAcentral.